RNAcentral lists this transfer RNA (92 nucleotides) under compost metagenome. Its description in RNAcentral is "tRNA-Ser". The record is from RNAcentral.
CGUGGAAGAGGACCUGGACGUUCUCGACCUUCGACAGGUCGUCAGACAGGCGGCCGCGCGCCACGGCGGUGCCGUUUCCACCCUCACGCGGC